RNAcentral lists this ribosomal RNA (503 nucleotides) under uncultured bacterium. RNAcentral's name for it is "partial 16S ribosomal RNA". It matches the Rfam family "Bacterial small subunit ribosomal RNA", at positions 29 to 523 of the family's 1533-position model. The record is from RNAcentral.
AACGAACGCUGGCGGCACGUUUUAAGCAUGCAAGUCGAAUGGCAGCAGGGGCAACUCUGUGAGAAAGGCGAACGGGUGAGUGACACGUAGGUGAUCUGCCUUGAGGAUGGGGAUAGCCUGUGGAAACACAGGGUAAUACCGAAUAAGCUGACGGGACUUUGGUUUUGUUAGUAAAGGUGCUACGGCACCGCCUUGAGAGGAGCCUGCGGCUGAUUAGCUAGUUGGUGGGGUAAAGGCCUACCAAGGCGACGAUCAGUAGCCGGCCUGAGAGGGUGUACGGACACACUGGGACUGAGACACGGCCCAGACUCCUACGGGAGGCAGCAGCUAAGAAUCUUCCGCAAUGGGCGAAAGCCUGACGGAGCGAUGCCGCGUGAUCGAUGAAGGUCGAGAGAUUGUAAAGAUCUUUUCUACAUGAGGAAUAAGUCUGGGAGGGAAUGCCUGGAUGAUGACGUUAGUGUAGGAAUAAGCCCCGGCUAAUUACGUGCCAGCCGCCGCCGUAA